RNAcentral lists this ribosomal RNA (984 nucleotides) under Veillonella dispar. Its description in RNAcentral is "bacterial SSU rRNA". It matches the Rfam family "Bacterial small subunit ribosomal RNA", at positions 28 to 987 of the family's 1533-position model. The record is from RNAcentral. Lineage: Bacteria; Bacillati; Bacillota; Negativicutes; Veillonellales; Veillonellaceae.
GACGAACGCUGGCGGCGUGCUUAACACAUGCAAGUCGAACGAAGAGCGAUGGAAGCUUGCUUCUAUCAAUCUUAGUGGCGAACGGGUGAGUAACGCGUAAUCAACCUGCCCUUCAGAGGGGGACAACAGUUGGAAACGACUGCUAAUACCGCAUACGAUCUAAUCUUGGCAUCGAGGAUAGAUGAAAGGUGGCCUCUACAUGUAAGCUAUCACUGAAGGAGGGGAUUGCGUCUGAUUAGCUAGUUGGAGGGGUAACGGCCCACCAAGGCGAUGAUCAGUAGCCGGUCUGAGAGGAUGAACGGCCACAUUGGGACUGAGACACGGCCCCAGCACUCCUACGGGGAGGGCAGCAGUGGGGAAUCUUCCGCAAUGGACGAAAGUCUGACGGAGCAACGCCGCGUGAGUGAUGACGGCCUUCGGGUUGUAAAGCUCUGUUAAUCGGGACGAAAGGCCUUCUUGCGAAUAGUGAGAAGGAUUGACGGUACCGGAAUAGAAAGCCACGGCUAACUACGUGCCAGCAGCCGCGGUAAUACGUAGGUGGCAAGCGUUGUCCGGAAUUAUUGGGCGUAAAGCGCGCGCAGGCGGAUAGGUCAGUCUGUCUUAAAAGUUCGGGGCUUAACCCCGUGAUGGGAUGGAAACUGCCAAUCUAGAGUAUCGGAGAGGAAAGUGGAAUUCCUAGUGUAGCGGUGAAAUGCGUAGAUAUUAGGAAGAACACCAGUGGCGAAGGCGACUUUCUGGACGAAAACUGACGCUGAGGCGCGAAAGCCAGGGGAGCGAACGGGAUUAGAUACCCCGGUAGUCCUGGCCGUAAACGAUGGAUACUAGGUGUGGGAGGUAUCGACCCCUACCGUGCCGGAGUUAACGCAAUAAGUAUCCCGCCUGGGGAGUACGGCCGCAAGGCUGAAACUCAAAGGAAUUGACGGGGACCGCACAGCGGUGGAGUAUGUGGUGUAAUCGAGCACGCGAGAACUUACAGCCUGAAUG